AACGCACAUUGCGCCCGCUAGUAUUCUGGCGGGCAUGCCUGUUCGAGCGUCAUUUCAACCAUCAAGCGCCUGCGCUUGUGUUGGAGCCCUGCGGCUGCCGCAGGCUCCCAAACCCAGUGGCGGGCUUGUCGUCGUACCGAGUGCAGUAAACUUACCACGCUCAGGGCGCGCGACGGGUGACCGGCCGUAAAACACCCCAUUUAUCAAGGUUGACCUCGGAUCAGGUAGGAAUACCCGCUGAACUUAA
This 247-nucleotide unclassified non-coding RNA is filed under the name uncultured Lasiosphaeriaceae. RNAcentral describes it as "sequence contains ITS2". The record is from RNAcentral. Lineage: Eukaryota; Fungi; Ascomycota; Sordariomycetes; Sordariales; Lasiosphaeriaceae.